RNAcentral lists this small nucleolar RNA (54 nucleotides) under Saccharolobus islandicus HVE10/4. Its description in RNAcentral is "Sulfolobus islandicus HVE10/4 non-coding RNA". Lineage: Archaea; Thermoproteati; Thermoproteota; Thermoprotei; Sulfolobales; Sulfolobaceae. The record is from RNAcentral. RNAcentral also lists the same sequence under 1 other name.
GUAGAUGAUGAAGGCUGGUAUUUUUGAUAAAGUGAUAUAAGACACCAAAGCUGA